UACAGGGGAUGCAAGUGUUAUCCGGAUUCAUUGGGCGUAAAGCGUCUGCAGGUGGAUACUUAAGUCUUUUGUUAAAGCUUUGGGCUUAACCCAAAAUCUGCAAAAGAAACUAUUUAUCUUGAGUCUGGUAGAGGUAAAGGGAAUUUCCGGUGGAGCGGUGAAAUGCGUAGAUAUCGGAAAGAACACCAACUGCGAAGGCACUUUACUGGGCCACGACUGACACUCAGAGACGAAAGCUAAGGGAGCAAACAGG
RNAcentral lists this ribosomal RNA (253 nucleotides) under uncultured organism. Its description in RNAcentral is "partial 16S ribosomal RNA". It matches the Rfam family "Bacterial small subunit ribosomal RNA", at positions 524 to 776 of the family's 1533-position model. The record is from RNAcentral.